RNAcentral lists this ribosomal RNA (408 nucleotides) under uncultured bacterium. RNAcentral's name for it is "bacterial SSU rRNA". It matches the Rfam family "Bacterial small subunit ribosomal RNA", at positions 30 to 438 of the family's 1533-position model. The record is from RNAcentral.
AUUGAACGCUGGCGGCAUGCUUUACACACGCAAGUCGAACGGUAACAGGUCUUCGGAUGCUGACGAGUGGCGAACGGGUGAGUAAUGUAUCGGAACGUGCCCAGUAGUGGGGGAUAACUACUCGAAAGAGUGGCUAAUACCGCAUGAGAACUGAGGUUGAAAGCGGGGGACCGUUCGGGCCUCGCGCUACUGGAGCGGCCGAUAUCAGAUUAGGUAGUUGGUGGGGUAAAGGGCCUACCAAGCCGACGAUCUGUAGCUGGUCUGAGAGGACGACCAGCCACACUGGGACUGAGACACGGCCCAGACUCCUACGGGAGGCAGCAGUGGGGAAUUUUGGACAAUGGACGCAAGUCUGAUCCAGCAAUGCCGCGUGCAGGACGAAGGCCUUCGGGUUGUAAACUGCUUUUG